GUUUCUUCUGCUUCGCAAGAGGUAGUUGAAACCGAGUGGCGAACGGGUGAGUAACGCGUGGGUGACCUACCUUCGAGUGGGGGAUAACGUCCCGAAAGGGACGCUAAUACCGCAUGACAUCCCGUCCUUGAACGGAUGGAGAUCAAAGCUGGGGAUCGCAAGACCCGGCGCUUGAUGAGGGGCCCGCGUCCGAUUAGCUAGUUGGUGGGGUAAUGGCUCACCAAGGCGACGAUCGGUAUCCGGCCUGAGAGGGCGGACGGACACACUGGGACUGAGACACGGCCCAGACUCCUACGGGAGGCAGCAGUGGGGAAUUGUUCGCAAUGGGCGCAAGCCUGACGACGCAAUGCCGCGUGGAGGAUGAAGGUCUUCGGAUUGUAAACUCCUGUUGCCAGGGACGAAUGGCUUCGACCUAAUACGUCGGAGUAUGACGGUACCUGGUGAGGAAGCCCCGGCUAACUCUGUGCCAGCAGCCGCGGUAAUACAGAGGGGGCAAGCGUUGUUCGGAAUUACUGGGCGUAAAGGGCGCGUAGGCGGCCUCUUAAGUUG
RNAcentral lists this ribosomal RNA (549 nucleotides) under uncultured bacterium. RNAcentral describes it as "bacterial SSU rRNA". It matches the Rfam family "Bacterial small subunit ribosomal RNA", at positions 69 to 590 of the family's 1533-position model. The record is from RNAcentral.